Molecule: ribosomal RNA, 253 nt
Filed under: uncultured bacterium
Lineage: Bacteria
Description: partial 16S ribosomal RNA
Rfam family: Bacterial small subunit ribosomal RNA
Source: RNAcentral
UACAGAGGUCCCGAGCGUUGUUCGGAUUCAUUGGGCGUAAAGGGUGCGCAGGCGGCGGGGUAAGUCUGAUGUGAAAUCCCGGGGCUCAACUCCGGAUCUGCGGUGGGUACGGGCAGACUAGAGUGAUGUAGGGGAGACUGGAAUUCCUGGUGUAGCGGUGAAAUGCGCAGAUAUCAGGAGGAACACCGAUGGCGAAGGCAGGUCUCUGGGCAUUAACUGACGCUGAGGAGCGAAAGCAUGGGGAGCGAACAGG